This 428-nucleotide ribosomal RNA is filed under the name uncultured bacterium. RNAcentral's name for it is "bacterial SSU rRNA". It matches the Rfam family "Bacterial small subunit ribosomal RNA", at positions 354 to 796 of the family's 1533-position model. The record is from RNAcentral.
GUAGGGAAUAUUGGACAAUGGGGGCAACCCUGAUCCAGCGACGCCGCGUGAGUGAUGAAGGCCUUCGGGUCGUAAAGCUCUGUUGCAGGGGAAGAACACAAUGACGGUACCCUGCUAGAAAGGAUCGGCUAACUUCGUGCCAGCAGCCGCGGUAAGACGAGGGAUCCUAGCGUUGUUCGGAAUUAUUGGGCGUAAAGCGGGUGCAGGUGGCUUGGUAAGUCAGAUGUGAAAGCCUGGGGCUUAACCCCAGAAGUGCAUUUGAUACUGCUGAGCUUGAGUGCUGGAGAGGCUAUUAGAAUUCCUGGUGUAGUGGUGAAAUACGUAGAUAUCAGGAGGAAUACCGGAGGCGAAGGCGGAUAGCUGGCCAGACACUGACACUCAGACCCGAAAGCGUGGGGAUCAAACAGGAUUAGAAACCCGAGUAGUCC